GCGCGAAAACUUUACAAUGCGGGAAACCGUGAUAAGGGGACACCGAGUGCCAGCAUCAUAUGUUGGCUGUCCAGAUGUGUAAAAUACAUCUGUUAGCAAGGGCCGGGCAAGACCGGUGCCAGCCGCCGCGGUAACACCGGCGGCCCGAGUGGUGAUCGUGAUUAUUGGGUCUAAAGGGUCCGUAGCCGGUUUGGUCAGUCCUCCGGGAAAUCUGACGGCUCAACCGUUAGGCUUUCGGUGGAUACUGCCAGACUUGGAACCGGGAGAGGUAAGAGGUACUACAGGGGUAGGAGUGAAAUCUUGUAAUCCCUGUGAGACCACCUGUGGCGAAGGCGUCUUACCAGAACGGGUUCGACGGUGAGGGACGAAAGCUGGGGGCACGAACCGG
Molecule: ribosomal RNA, 388 nt
Filed under: uncultured bacterium
Lineage: Bacteria
Also listed under: 1 other name
Description: bacterial SSU rRNA
Rfam family: Archaeal small subunit ribosomal RNA
Source: RNAcentral